Molecule: long non-coding RNA, 461 nt
Organism: Pecten maximus
Lineage: Eukaryota; Metazoa; Mollusca; Bivalvia; Pectinida; Pectinidae
Exons: 3
Source: RefSeq, a predicted model, not a curated record
GUAUUACAAGUGGCGGCCAUUUUGUUUGUUGACGGAAACGUGAUGACAGCUUAGGCCUAGAACAAAAUCACGUUAUAUAUACAGUAUAUAUUGGCGACAUUUAAUUUCCCCACUCACGGAAUACAAUCGACAAACUGGGAACAGAAUAUCAAAUUUUGUCUAGCUUUUGGCGACUUAUGAUACCCCUUUCACCGGCAAACACUGAAUUAUCGGACAACAUGAAAUCAGGGACUAAAUUCACCAGCAUUCAUGAUCCUCGGACCACCCGCCCCCUACGCACAGCCGAUUUAUAAAUGUUGCAUCUUUCAAUCAGUGUCAAUCCCAAGAAGAACCCUGAUCAGCUCCUGGAAAAAUCAGUGUUCUUGCAGUAUUGUCAGUCAAAUCUCAAGGAAAGGAUCCCAGAAGAGGAACAUUUACAUUAUUUCAGACUUUUUUCUUUCCUGUGUAACAAUGCCUCAAAC